This 253-nucleotide ribosomal RNA is filed under the name uncultured bacterium. Its description in RNAcentral is "partial 16S ribosomal RNA". It matches the Rfam family "Bacterial small subunit ribosomal RNA", at positions 524 to 776 of the family's 1533-position model. The record is from RNAcentral.
UACGGAGGGUGCAAACGUUGCUCGGAAUCAUUGGGCGUAAAGCGCACGUAGGCGGCCUGUUAAGUCGGGUGUGAAAGCCCUGGGCUCAACCCAGGAAUUGCCUUUAAGACUGCAUCGCUUGAAUCCGGGAGAGGUGAGUGGAAUUCCGAGUGUAGAGGUGAAAUUCGUAGAUAUUCGGAAGAACACCAGUGGCGAAGGCGGCUCACUGGACCGGUAUUGACGCUGAGGUGCGAAAGCGUGGGGAGCAAACAGG